Molecule: ribosomal RNA, 156 nt
Filed under: Triticum aestivum (bread wheat)
Lineage: Eukaryota; Viridiplantae; Streptophyta; Magnoliopsida; Poales; Poaceae
Description: rRNA 5_8S_rRNA
Rfam family: 5.8S ribosomal RNA
About the family: 5.8S ribosomal RNA (5.8S rRNA) is a component of the large subunit of the eukaryotic ribosome.
Source: RNAcentral
AACUCUCGGCAACGGAUAUCUCAGCUCUCGCAUCCAUGAAGAACGUAGUGAAAUGCGAUACCUGGUGUGAAUUGCAGAAUCCCGCGAACCAUCGAGUCUUUGAACGCAAGUUGCGCCCGAGGCCACUCGGCCGAGGGCACGCCUGCCUGGGCGUCA